RNAcentral lists this unclassified non-coding RNA (378 nucleotides) under uncultured bacterium. RNAcentral's name for it is "contains 16S-23S intergenic spacer region". The record is from RNAcentral.
UCCGGUUUGACACCGGCAGUCUCCCUAGAGUGCCCAACUUUACUUGCUGGCAACUAGGGACAAGGGUUGCGCUCGUUGCGGGACUUAACCCAACAUCUCACGACACGAGCUGACGACAGCCAUGCAGCACCUGUGCACCGACCCCGAAGGGAGGGUGUGUUUCCACACCUGUCCGGUGCAUGUCAAACCUGGGUAAGGUUCUUCGCGUUGCAUCGAAUUAAACCACAUGCUCCACCGCUUGUGCGGGCCCCCGUCAAUUCCUUUGAGUUUCAACCUUGCGGUCGUACUCCCCAGGCGGGGCACUUAAUGCGUUAGCGCCGGCACCCAGGGGGUCGCUCCCCCAGGCACCUAGUGCCCAUCGUUUACGGCGUGGACUAC